GGGGGUGACCGGCUUUGACGGUCUGUACCUUGAAAGACGUGCGACGCAGUGCACUCCCGCUAACACGUAAAACUGGCGGGAAAUAAACUUGCCAAGAACACUCUUGCAAGCGCGACGAAGUCUCCUUACUUCGGUAAGGUCGGCGAUAUCGCGUUCGCCUACGCGACGGUUCGCGGCUAACGCCACGUUCCUCGCCUAGCGCGACGUUUGUCUUCACUCGGCGCUCACAGCGGAGAAGACGGGCGGAAUCUUCUGUGAGAUCGAUGCUCGGCCUCCCGCCCGGCGCAUCUAGAUAAGGGAUCGGGCAGGAAUGGUUUCGUCAACGUUCCUAGCAUCCUGCCUUAGACACUAACGCUGACUACGCGUCGUAGAAUCGCUUUCAGAGACGGAUUCGGACCGGGGUUCAAUUCCCCGCACCUCCACUC
RNAcentral lists this transfer-messenger RNA (425 nucleotides) under Parcubacteria group bacterium CG1_02_50_68. It matches the Rfam family "transfer-messenger RNA". Rfam says of the family: Bacterial tmRNA, also known as 10Sa RNA or SsrA, is named for its dual tRNA and mRNA-like properties. Its role is to liberate the mRNA from a stalled ribosome. To accomplish this part of the tmRNA is used as a reading frame that ends in a translation stop signal. The record is from RNAcentral. RNAcentral also lists the same sequence under 7 other names.